This is a non-coding RNA of Anolis sagrei ordinatus, 853 nucleotides long. The record is from RefSeq and is a predicted model, not a curated record. Lineage: Eukaryota; Metazoa; Chordata; Lepidosauria; Squamata; Anolidae.
AAUCAAAACAAGAAUCGUCACCAAAUCUCUUUGUAGAGAGAAGCCUUUUGAAGACAUCAUCGCUGAUUACAAAUUUCCAGAAGGAUCAGAAGAGGGGAAAAAAGCUUUGGCACUUGCAGCUCAUCUAUCUGCAAAGUUUCCACCUAUCCAGCAGAAUGUUUGGGAAGGAACAAAAAAAGGUUAGUCCCAUCAAACAAAAUAAAGUGUGCAGCAAAAAAACCCCAGGAGAUCAACUGAUAACAGCCAAAUGAAACUCCAGCCAAGUGAAAGGAAUUACUGCAACAUAAUUUAUUGGCAUCAAUUGUCAUGAGGCUGCACCAAAAUAAACACUUUUGCCCAGCUUGCAGUCUUAAUCACAGGGUAAAAAUGUUUAAUAGAGAAUCAUAAUGGUCAAGUGUUUAAGUUCUGUACCAAUAAUUAUUAUUUUGAUUGUAGUAGAUAAGAAUUUAUUGUCGAAGGCUUUCAUGGCCGGAAUCACUGGGUUGUUGUAGUUUUUUUCGGGCUAUAUGGCUAUGUUCUGGAGGCAUUCACUCCUGACGUUUCGCCUGCAUCUAUGUCAAGCAUCCCCUUUGCCUCUGAGGAUGCUUGCCAUAGAUGCAGGUGAAACGUCAGGAGAGACUGCCUCUAGAACAUGGUCAUAUAGCCCGAAAAAACCUAUAACAACUAGAUAAGAAUUUAAUUGAAUCUUUUCUUAAAUAUGCAAUAUAUGGCAUAUAAGUAGAUCUACUUUUCUUUCAUAAUCUAGUUUUUCUAUUAUAUAACCUCCAAAUGCAAAAUGCUUAUGAGUUAUUGCAGUAAUAAAAUUGCAUGGCACACUUUUAUCUUGUUACACCUGCAUUACAAUAAAGAUGAU